CCUACGAGCGGCUGCAGUGAGGAAUAUUGGUCAAUGGGCGUAAGCCUGAACCAGCCAAGUCGCGUGAGGGAUGAAGGUUCUAUGGAUCGUAAACCUCUUUUAUAAGGGCAUAAAGUGUGGGACGUGUCCUAUUUUGUAUGUACCUUAUGAAUAAGGAUCGGUAAACUCCGUGCCAGAAGCCGCGGUAAUACGGAGGAUCCGGGCGUUAUCCGGAUUUAUUGGGUUUAAAGGUUGCGUAGGCGGCCUUUUAAGUCAGCGGUGAAAGUCUGUGGCUCAACCCUAGAAUUGCCGGUGAACCUGGGGGGCUUGAGGAUGUGUGAGGCAAGCGGAAUGCGUGGUGUAGCGGUGAAAUGCUUAGAUAUCACGCAGAACCCCGAUUGCGAAGGCAGCCUGCCAAGCCAUGACUGACGCUGAUGCACGAAAGCGUGGGGAUCAAACAGGAUUAGAUACCCUAGUAGUC
This 460-nucleotide ribosomal RNA is filed under the name uncultured bacterium. RNAcentral's name for it is "partial 16S ribosomal RNA". It matches the Rfam family "Bacterial small subunit ribosomal RNA", at positions 338 to 795 of the family's 1533-position model. The record is from RNAcentral.